CGGCGCGGGCGGGCUCGGUGGGGGUGGGCUCGGCGAUGGUGGUGCAGGUGGCCUCGGCGGUCUGGGCGGCGGCUCCGGUGGACUUGGCGGUGGCUCGGGCGGCCUUGGUGGCCUCGGCGGUGGAGGAGGCGGGCUUGGUGGCCUCGGCGGUGGAGGCGGCGGGCUCGGUGGUGGCAUCGGUCACGGCGGCGGUGGCUGCAUCCAUCCGUGACCGUGACCGAUGGAGUAGAUCGCUGUGUAUCGACGUACGUGUUGAUCAUGUGAUGUUGAAAUAAGCAUGCAUGCAUGCAUGCUAGCUUAAUUAGCUGGUAGUACGUAAUUAGCUAGUCAAGCUCGAUCAUGCAUGUUGCUCUGAGUAGUGUUUCUCCCUCUUGGUUUAGGGCCCGCACGUGUUUGUGUUGUGUGUGCUAGCUCCUCAGUGUACCUGCAUGUGUAAUGAAAAAUAAUUCCAUCUUAUCUUUUUUCCAAAUCUUCAAAUCGCCUUUGACCAUUUUUGUCAAUAAUAUAUUUGACUAUUGUUUUACCGUAAUC
This 531-nucleotide long non-coding RNA is filed under the name Hordeum vulgare. RNAcentral's name for it is "long non-coding RNA (HVUL_LNC017154)". The record is from RNAcentral. Lineage: Eukaryota; Viridiplantae; Streptophyta; Magnoliopsida; Poales; Poaceae.